UUACAGCCAUAUCACAUAGAAACUACCAGCUCUCGUACGGUCACCGAAGUUAAGCAACAUCGAACAAGGUUAGUACCCAGAUGGAUGACCGCUUGGGAAUACCAG
Non-coding RNA from Acanthosepion pharaonis, 105 nucleotides. The record is from the annotation of a GenBank genome assembly. Lineage: Eukaryota; Metazoa; Mollusca; Cephalopoda; Sepiida; Sepiidae.